ACGGACGUGGGCGACUACCAGAUCAAACUGCGCAACAUGCUUCGCUUCCUGGAAGAGGGCGACAAGGUCAAGGUCACCAUCCGUUUCCGCGGCCGCGAGAUGUCGCAUCAGGACCUGGGCCAGAACCUGGCCAAGAAGAUCCAGGAAGACGUCGGCGAGAACGGCCAGAUCGAGUCGUUUCCCCGGCUCGAAGGGCGCCAGAUGGUCAUGAUGAUCGGCCCCAAGAAGAAAUAAGCCGCCACGACAGCUUCGGCUGUCGUAUUACUGGCAUCCGGGGUUCGAACUCCGUAUAAUCGCCGGUUCGACCCGCA
Molecule: unclassified non-coding RNA, 311 nt
Filed under: Rhodanobacter sp. OK091
Lineage: Bacteria; Pseudomonadati; Pseudomonadota; Gammaproteobacteria; Lysobacterales; Rhodanobacteraceae
Description: Long range pseudoknot
Source: RNAcentral